UACGGAGGGUGCGAGCGUUAAUCGGAAUUACUGGGCGUAAAGCGCACGUAGGUGGUUGGGUAAGUCGGAUGUGAAAGCCCUGGGCUUAACCUGGGAACUGCAUUCGAUACUGCCCGGCUAGAGUAUGGGAGAGGGAAGCGGAAGUUCCGGUGUAGCGGUGAAAUGCGUAGAUAUCGGAAGGAACAUCAAUGGCGAAGGCAGCUUCCUGGCCCAAUACUGACGCUCAGGUGCGAAAGCGUGGGGAUCAAACAGG
This 253-nucleotide ribosomal RNA is filed under the name uncultured bacterium. RNAcentral's name for it is "partial 16S ribosomal RNA". It matches the Rfam family "Bacterial small subunit ribosomal RNA", at positions 524 to 776 of the family's 1533-position model. The record is from RNAcentral.